RNAcentral lists this ribosomal RNA (301 nucleotides) under uncultured bacterium. RNAcentral's name for it is "partial 16S ribosomal RNA". It matches the Rfam family "Bacterial small subunit ribosomal RNA", at positions 509 to 807 of the family's 1533-position model. The record is from RNAcentral.
CAGUCGCCGCGGUAAUACGUAUGGUGCAAGCGUUAAUCGGAAUUACUGGGCGUAAAGCGUGCGCAGGCGGUUAUAUAAGUCAGAUGUGAAAUCCCCGGGCUCAACCUGGGAACUGCAUUUGAGACUGUAUGGCUAGAGUGUGUCAGAGGGGGGUAGAAUUCCACGUGUAGCAGUGAAAUGCGUAGAUAUGUGGAGGAAUACCGAUGGCGAAGGCAGCCCCCUGGGAUAACACUGACGCUCAUGCACGAAAGCGUGGGGAGCAAACAGGAUUAGAUACCCCGGUAGUCCCUGUCUCUUAUAC